UACGUAGGUGGCAAGCGUUGUCCGGAAUUAUUGGGCGUAAAGCGCGCGCAGGCGGUCCUUUAAGUCUGAUGUGAAAGCCCACGGCUCAACCGUGGAGGGUCAUUGGAAACUGGGGGGACUUGAGUACAGAAGAGAAGAGUGGAAUUCCACGUGUAGCGGUGAAAUGCGUAGAGAUUUGGAGGAACACCAGUGGCGAAGGCGACUUUCUGUCUGUAACUGACACUGAGGCGCGAAAGCGUGGGGAGCGAACAGG
Molecule: ribosomal RNA, 253 nt
Filed under: uncultured bacterium
Lineage: Bacteria
Description: partial 16S ribosomal RNA
Rfam family: Bacterial small subunit ribosomal RNA
Source: RNAcentral